Molecule: long non-coding RNA, 223 nt
Organism: Thalassophryne amazonica
Lineage: Eukaryota; Metazoa; Chordata; Actinopteri; Batrachoidiformes; Batrachoididae
Exons: 3
Source: RefSeq, a predicted model, not a curated record
AAUUCAAUAUUACUAACUUUUAGAUUAGAAUAGAAUGCCCUUUAUUGUCAUUAUACAAAAUGUACAAUAAGACUAGACAGAGCUUCUCCUGUGUCAGUGCAAAUAGAUAAAGUAAAAAAAAAAAAAAAAAAAAAAGGUACAAAUGGUUCUAAUUGUAAAAUCCUGUAGGACAGUACAAUGAAAAUCUAUAUGUACAAAUAUAAAAAAGAAAGCAUAUAUAUAU